GCGCUAUAGGGUUGGCCGAUGGCUGAUUAGCUAGUUGGUGGGGUAAAGGCCUACCAAGGCGACGAUCAGUAGCUGGUCUGAGAGGACGACCAGCCACACUGGGACUGAGACACGGCCCAUACUCCUACGGGAGGCAGCAGUGGGGAAUUUUGGACAAUGGGCGAAAGCCUGAUCCAGCAAUGCCGCGUGUGUGAAGAAGGCCUUCGGGUUGUAAAGCACUUUUGUCCGGA
This 230-nucleotide ribosomal RNA is filed under the name Burkholderia cepacia. RNAcentral's name for it is "partial 16S ribosomal RNA". It matches the Rfam family "Bacterial small subunit ribosomal RNA", at positions 215 to 444 of the family's 1533-position model. Lineage: Bacteria; Pseudomonadati; Pseudomonadota; Betaproteobacteria; Burkholderiales; Burkholderiaceae. The record is from RNAcentral.